Non-coding RNA from Capsicum annuum, 107 nucleotides. NCBI's taxonomy places the organism in Eukaryota, Viridiplantae, Streptophyta, Magnoliopsida, Solanales, Solanaceae. The record is from Rfam.
UAUUGAUGGUGUGGACAGUCUCAUACAAAAUCCUUGAAAUGCUCCCAAGCAUGAUAUUAAUUUUUACCUGGCUUCUGUUUAAAGAAAAAAAUCUCACUGCGAAGUCU